This 261-nucleotide ribosomal RNA is filed under the name uncultured bacterium. RNAcentral's name for it is "partial 16S ribosomal RNA". It matches the Rfam family "Bacterial small subunit ribosomal RNA", at positions 249 to 508 of the family's 1533-position model. The record is from RNAcentral.
UUGGUGGGGUGAUGGCCUACCAAGGCGACGACGGGUAGCCGGCCUGAGAGGGUGUCCUGCCACACUGGGACUGAGAUACGGCCCAGACUCCUACGGGAGGCAGCAGUGGGGAAUAUUGCACAAUGGGCGCAAGCCUGAUGCAGCGACGCCGCGUGGGGGAUGACGGCCUUCGGGUUGUAAACCUCUUCCACCAUCGGCGAAGCCGGGGGCUUUUGUUUUCGGUGACGGUAGGUGGAGAAGAAGCACCGGCCAACUACGUGC